UACGUAGGGUGCAAGCGUUAAUCGGAAUUACUGGGCGUAAAGCGUGCGCAGGCGGUUGUGUAAGUCUGAUGUGAAAGCCCCGGGCUCAACCUGGGAACUGCAUUGGAGACUGCACGGCUAGAGUGCGUCAGAGGGGGGUAGAAUUCCGCGUGUAGCAGUGAAAUGCGUAGAGAUGCGGAGGAAUACCGAUGGCGAAGGCAGCCCCCUGGGAUGACACUGACGCUCAUGCACGAAAGCGUGGGGAGCAAACAGG
This 253-nucleotide ribosomal RNA is filed under the name uncultured bacterium. RNAcentral's name for it is "partial 16S ribosomal RNA". It matches the Rfam family "Bacterial small subunit ribosomal RNA", at positions 524 to 776 of the family's 1533-position model. The record is from RNAcentral.